AUGGCCCGGGCGCUGGAGGCCAAGCGGGAGGAGGCAACGAGGCUGCGGCGGAGGCUGGCGGGGCAGCGGCGGGAGCUGGAGGCGCUGCGGGACCGCCUGGGCCAGGGGGUGCAGGAUGAGGCCGGCGGCCCCCGCACUGACGCCUGCGUCCUGCGGGAGCUGCAGCGGCGGCUGGAGGCGCUGCUGAGGUCCCAGCACGAGGCCCUGCAGCUCGUGGCCGAGAUGGAGGCCGAGGAGGCCGCGGGGAGAGGAGGCCGCCCCGGCGAGGACGGGGACGGCGGAGAGGGGCCGCGGGGCGAGGGGACGGGGGGGCUCAGCACCGCGCCAGGCACCCGGCCGGGGGAAGCGGAGGCUGCUGGGGGGGCGCGGGUGCUGCAGGAGAGGCUGGAGGAGGCCAGGGCUGAGGCCAGGCGCUGGGAGGCCGCCGCCGCCGCUGAGCGCAGGGCCAAGGAGGAGGCGGAGGCCAGGGAGGCCGAGCGGGAGCAGGAGGCGCGGGAGCUGCGGGAGAAGGUGCAGGGGCUGGAGAGGACCCUGGGGAGGCUCAGCGCCAGGGUGGGCGAGCUCAGCGCCGCCCUCCGGGACAGGGAGGCCAAGGUGAGGCCGGGCUGCUGCCCCCUUCCCGUCACCGUCCCUUCCCCAUCGCUGCCCGUCCCCUCCCCGUCCCUGCGCCCAUCGCUGCCGCUGGCCCCUUCCCAUCGCUGGCCCCGUCACUGGCCCCGUCCCACCGCCAGCCCUUUCCCAUCACCGCCCCAAUCCCAUCGCUGGCCCCUUCCCGUCACCGCCCCAUCACCAUCCCGCUCCCAUUGCCAUCCCCAUCACUGUCCCAUCCCCAUCCCAUUGCUGUCUCUGUCCCAAUCCCAUCCCAUUCCCAUCCCCAUCCCAUUCCCAUCCCCAUCCCGUUGCCAUCCCAUCCCGGUUCCCAUCCCAUUGCUGUCCCCAUCACUAUCCCAUUCCCAUCCCAUCCCAUCCUUGUCCCUAUCACUAUCCCAUUCCCACCCCAUCCCCUUCCCAUCCCUGUCCCCAUCACCAUCCCGUUACCUUCCCAUCCCAUUCCCAUCCCAUCCCCAUCCCCGUUCCCGUCCCCAU
RNAcentral lists this long non-coding RNA (1086 nucleotides) under Anser cygnoides (Swan goose). Its description in RNAcentral is "lncRNA (ENSACDG00005002276.1)". The record is from RNAcentral. Lineage: Eukaryota; Metazoa; Chordata; Aves; Anseriformes; Anatidae.